AUUGAACGCUGGCAGCAGGCCUAACACAUGCAAGUCGAGCGGAUGAAGGGAGCUUGCUCCUGGAUUCAGCGGCGGACGGGUGAGUAAUGCCUAGGAAUCUGCCUGGUAGUGGGGGAUAACGUCCGGAAACGGGCGCUAAUACCGCAUACGUCCUGAGGGAGAAAGUGGGGGAUCUUCGGACCUCACGCUAUCAGAUGAGCCUAGGUCGGAUUAGCUAGUUGGUGGGGUAAAGGCCUACCAAGGCGACGAUCCGUAACUGGUCUGAGAGGAUGAUCAGUCACACUGGAACUGAGACACGGUCCAGACUCCUACGGGAGGCAGCAGUGGGGAAUAUUGGACAAUGGGCGAAAGCCUGAUCCAGCCAUGCCGCAUGUGUGAAGAAGGUCUUCGGAUUGUAAAGCACUUUAAGUUGGGAGGAAGGGCAGUAAGUUAAUACCUUGCUGUUUUGACGUUACCAACAGAAUAAGCACCGGCUAACUUCGUG
This 484-nucleotide ribosomal RNA is filed under the name uncultured bacterium. RNAcentral describes it as "partial 16S ribosomal RNA". It matches the Rfam family "Bacterial small subunit ribosomal RNA", at positions 30 to 507 of the family's 1533-position model. The record is from RNAcentral.